Molecule: ribosomal RNA, 466 nt
Filed under: uncultured bacterium
Lineage: Bacteria
Description: partial 16S ribosomal RNA
Rfam family: Bacterial small subunit ribosomal RNA
Source: RNAcentral
GACGAACGCUGGCGGUGUGCUUAACACAUGCAAGUCGAACGGUAAGGCCCUUUCGGGGGUACACGAGUGGCGAACGGGUGAGUAACACGUGAGUAACCUGCCCUCAUCUCUGGGAUAACAGUCGGAAACGGUUGCUAAUACUGGAUAUGAGCUUGCAAGGCAUCUUGUGGGUUGGAAAGAUUUUUUUGGUUGGGGAUGGACUCGCGGCCUAUCAGCUUGUUGGUGAGGUAGUGGCUCACCAAGGCUUCGACGGGUAGCCGGCCUGAGAGGGCGACCGGCCACAUUGGGACUGAGAUACGGCCCAAACUCCUACGGGAGGCAGCAGUGGGGAAGAUUGCACAAUGGACGGAAGUCUGAUGCAGCAACGCCGCGUGCGGGAGGACGGCCUUCGGGUUGUAAACCGCUUUCAAUUGUGACGAAGCUUUUUGUGACGGUAGCAGUAGAAGAAGCACCGGCUAACUACGUG